UACGAAGGGUGCAAGCGUUACUCGGAAUUACUGGGUUUAAAGGGUGCGUAGGUGGGUAAGUAAGUCAGUGGUGAAAUCUUCGAGCUUAACUCGGAAACUGCCAUUGAUACUAUUUAUCUUGAAUACUUUGGAGGUAAGCGGAAUAUGUCAUGUAGCGGUGAAAUGCUUAGAUAUGACAUAGAACACCAAUUGCGAAGGCAGCUUACUACACAGUCAUUGACACUGAGGCACGAAAGCGUGGGGAUCAAACAGG
Molecule: ribosomal RNA, 253 nt
Filed under: uncultured bacterium
Lineage: Bacteria
Description: partial 16S ribosomal RNA
Rfam family: Bacterial small subunit ribosomal RNA
Source: RNAcentral